GUCUGUCGUUUAACACUUUAUAGUAGGGUAAAUCACAUGGAGAAUUGCGUUGCUUUUGUAUGCCAUUAUACUCUUUCCAUUCUGUUUUUGCUUACCAGGUCCUAUGCUAGAAAGAAAGGAAGAAAUAAUGUUACAGUGGAUGAUCUUAUUCAUGUUAUCACACCAAAAGGAAGAGCUUCAGUACCGGACUCUGUGAAGGCUGAGCUAUUACAACGCAUUCGUGCAUUCCUCACAUCAGCUGCCCUUUAAUACGAUGUUAUCAGUUCAUACUUGGUAGGAAUAUCUGAUCAAAUUUUUAAUUUGUUGUCUUGGAUUAAGCCUUGGUUUUUCUUAGUACUUUUAUUUUUUCAACAAUGCUUUUCAAAUCUGUUGAAGGGAUCAGUGUGGACCUUAACCUCACCACAUAUUAUAAUCUUAUAAAAGUCCCAUUGCCGAUUAUUUAGGGGAACCGAAUUUUAUCUGUAUAGAAUUCAGAACAUCUCCAUUGCAUCUGUUGCUGUGCAGUAGCAGGAAGAUCAUCUUUUAUGUAUAAUGUGAAGACUUUGAAUUUAUAAACAUAAAAUUUUACAUCUUUUGCA
Molecule: long non-coding RNA, 578 nt
Organism: Dendrobium catenatum
Lineage: Eukaryota; Viridiplantae; Streptophyta; Magnoliopsida; Asparagales; Orchidaceae
Exons: 2
Source: RefSeq, a predicted model, not a curated record